RNAcentral lists this ribosomal RNA (450 nucleotides) under uncultured bacterium. Its description in RNAcentral is "partial 16S ribosomal RNA". It matches the Rfam family "Bacterial small subunit ribosomal RNA", at positions 338 to 795 of the family's 1533-position model. The record is from RNAcentral.
CCUACGGGGGGCUGCAGUGGGGAAUUUUCCACAAUGGGCGAAAGCCUGAUGGAGCAACGCCGCGUGUGUGAUGAAGGUUUUCGGAUCGUAAAGCACUUUCGACCGGGACGAAAAACCUCUGGCUAACAUCCAGGGGCCUGACGGUACCGGGAGAAGAAGCACCGGCUAACUCUGUGCCAGCAGCCGCGGUAAUACAGAGGGGGCAAUCGUUGUUCGGAAUUAUUGGGCGUAGAGCGCGUGUAGGCGACUUGAAAGCCCUCGGCUUAACCGAGGAAGUGCGUCUGAAACUGCAGAGCUUGAGUGUCGGAGAGGAUGGCGGAAUUCCGCAAGUAGAGGUGAAAUUCGUAGAUAUGCGGAGGAACACCGGUGGCGAAGGCGGCCAUCUGGACGACUACUGACGCUGAGACGCGAAAGCGUGGGGAGCAAACAGGAUUAGAUACCCCAGUAGUC